Molecule: long non-coding RNA, 5657 nt
Organism: Mytilus californianus (California mussel)
Lineage: Eukaryota; Metazoa; Mollusca; Bivalvia; Mytilida; Mytilidae
Exons: 3
Source: RefSeq, a predicted model, not a curated record
UUUAUGGUGGUAUCCAGAUCUCUUCCAGGAUCCAGUAUUUUAUAUUAACAACGUGAUGUACCUUAUGGUGCCUUUUUCUAUAGGCUAUUUUCUUUAUGAUCUUUAUGAUAUGAUGAUAAAUGAACAACUCAUUGACUGGGAAAUUGCAUUACACCAUAUACUUCUUAGUACCGUGAUGAUCUAUUCAUGGACUAACAAGUUGUGUAUUGCUUAUAGUGUAAUAUUACUUACAUCGGAAAUAAACAGUAUUUUUCUUCAUCUACGAAAACUUCUACAGUUCACAAGAGUUAACUUUAAUUCCUGGCUAUAUCAAUCAGUAGCAAUGCUGAACCUUUUUACGUUUAUAACGUGUCGUCUGUUUCCUCAGAGUCGUCUAAUGUUUGGAUUCUACACUGAUGGACAUCGUAUCUCAAGAAGUUAUUUUAUUCUUUUAUUGUCAACUUAUCCAAUUGGUUUUGUUAUAAAUAUAGUUUUAUUUUGGAGAAUACUUAAAUCAGAUGUAUUGAGACGACUAAAAGGUAAUGAUAAAUUACGAAAUAAGAUGGAAUAGAAAUGAUUUGUGCAAAUGGAGCACCCUCCACGUAAGGUAAUUAACAUUCUAGUUGCAGUGUGAUCUUGUAAUAAAAAUAGUCCGUAAAAAUAAUUUAUAAAGGUGUGUUUACACGGUACGAUUUUCCAUCCGAUUUGAUACCGCCUCCCAGGUAAAUCAUACAUCGUUCUAUUCACACGAUACCAUUUUUCAUUCGAUUAACCAAACGACAUCCAAUUUUAGUGUUCACACGGUGAGAGUUUUGUCGAAACAUGGAAGUAUUUUGACAUAUAAUACUUCCUUGGUCGAAACGACAUCGAUUGGAAAUCAGAUGGAAAAUCGUACCGUGUAAACUAAGCUUAAUUCAUUCUAGUCACAGUGUGAUCUUGUAAUAAUGAUAGUACGUAAACAUACUGUCACCGUGAGGUCUUGUAAUAAUGAUAUUACGUAAACAUACUAGUCUCAGUGUGGUCUUGUUUUUAUGAUAGUACGUAAACAUACUAGUCACAGUGUGGUCUUGUUUUUAUGAUAGUACGUAAACAUACUAGUCACAGUGUGGUCUUGUUUUUAUGAUAGUACGUAAACAUACUAGUCACAGUGUAGACUUGUUUUUAUGAUAGUACGUAAACAUACUAGUCUGAAUGUGGUCUUGUUUUUAUGAUAGUACGUAAACAUACUAGUCUGAGUGUGGUCUUGUAAUAAUGAUAGUACGUAAACAUACUAGUCUCAGUGUGGUCUUGUAAUAGUGAUAGUCCGUAAACCUAAUCAACUAAGUCAAUAUUUACCCAUCGAGGAAAAUAUGGUGAUUUGCAUUUAGAUAUACAUAUAAACAUUAUUUUAUUUGUUUGAUUUAUGAUGGAUUGUUUGAUUUUUGUUUAUGUUUUGCUUACAAAUAUAUAUAUAUAAGUAUACACUGUUUUGAAUUCCAGGACUCGAAACGAGACAUAAAAAAAAGAAGAAAUAUACGAACUGUACAAAACAAUCAUAAAGUUAUAAAGAAUUGACAUAUUUUUUUAGAAACCAAUCAUUUUUUAUGUACAUUUCAGUAAACUUUACAUCUUAAAACAAGUAUAUAUAUUUUCCAUUUUUUUUUUAUUUUAUUCCUAACUUGAUAAUGGUUGCUUUUAUUUUACUCUAAACAAUAAUUAGCAGAAAAAGCGGAAUUACUGCUUAAUAUGAAUUGAAGUUAAUAUUACUGUGUUGAGUUAUGCUGAGAGCGACAACGAACCUGAUUUCACUUACUUCUUUUGGGGAGAUCGUGCAAACAUUUUGAAUUUAAAAAAAGCUUGUCAGAUAUUCUGACACACACCACUGUUUAGCUUCUUGGAGAUGGAUUUUCAUCCACCAAUAUUAGUUUUGUGAUGGUUAAUGUCAGCAAUGGGCGGUCAUCUAACGAAAAUCUGCCGAAUGAAAACGAUUCAGCACCAGGAAUAUCGUGCUGAAUUUAUGACAUUCAUUGUCAAUUUACCGCAUUUGUUCUAGUAUCUCAGUAAACCAGUAAAUAAAUCCUUUUUUCUGUUCAAAUGUUUUAAUUUAAUUAUUUAAAAUUAGUUAUGUCGAAUCAAUCUAUUAAUAAUUACAUUGACAUUUCUGUAAAAUAAUAUGAACGCCACUUUUUAUGCCCCGCUGAAGCGGAGGGGGCAUUAAGUUUUACCCUUGUCCGUCCGUACGUCCGUCCAUACGUCCCAAAAUUGGUUUCCGUUCUCUAACUUGAGUUUGCCUCAACCAAAUGUUAUCAAACUUAUACACAAUGUUUAUUACCACAAAACACAGAUCAAGUUUGAAUUUUGGUGGCGUCACUUUAACCAUUCUAGAGUUAUGCCCCUUUAUAAAUGGAAAAAUUGCAAAAUUUUUCAUUUUCGUUCUCUAACUUAAGUUUGCCUCAUCUAAAUGUUUUGAAACUUGUACACAAUGCUUAUUACCACAAUACACAGAUCAAGAUUGAAUUUUGGGAGCGUCACUUUUACUGUUCUAGAGUUAUGCCCCUUUACAAAUGGAAAAAUUGCUAAAUUUUUCAUUCUUUUUUCCAAAAAUAUCAAUGUCAUUAUUCAAGUAAUUUUAAAAAUUGGAGUUAUCUUCCUUUGUCCAUGAUUAUAGUUAAAUCAGCUACAAUCAAUGCUUUAUACAAUGCAAUGUUUAAUUUUGCUUUCCACUGAUAAAACACAGAUCAAGUUGAAUUUGGGUAGUGUCACUUUAACCAUUAUUGAGUUAUGCCCCUUUAUAAAUCGAAAAAUUGCAAUAAUUUUAGUUUCCAUUCUGUUACUUAAGUUUGCCCCAACCAAACAUUAUGAAACCUAUACACAUAACUCAUUACCACAAAACUAAGAUCAAGUACAAAUAUUGUUUCCGUUCUCUAACUUUAGUUUGCCUCAACCAAAUGUUAUGAAACUUAUACACAAUGCUUAUUACUACAUAAUACAGAUUAAGUACGAAAUUCAGUGGCGUCACUUUUACCAUUCUUGAGUAAUGUCCCUUUAUAAACAUAAAAAUUGGUGAAUUUUUCGUUUCCGUUCCCUUACUUUAGUUUGUCUCAACCAAAUGUUAUAAAACUUAUAUACAACCGUUCUAGAGUUAUGCGUGUUUACAAAUAGAAAAAUUGCUGAAUUUUUUGUUUCUGUUCUCUACUUAAGUUAGCCUCAACCAAAUGUUAUGAGACUUACACACAAUGCUUAUUACCACAAAACUCAGAUCAAGUUCAAAUUUUGGUAGCGUCACUUUUACCGUUCUUCAGUUAUGUCCCUUUAUAACUAUAUGAUAUGCAAGCGGGGGCAUCGUCUGUGUCCACAUGUGGACACAAUCCACAUUUAUUUAUUUUAAUCCAAUCUGAUGUAUGUAUUUGCAGUUGUUGGUUGUCCUCUGAAGUCAAUUUAAUAUUUUCAUAGAUGUUUCUGAAAUUAAAGAGUUCACUUUACUUUAAUGGAAUAUUUCUAGUGUAAAAUUACUAAUUUCUGCAAAAUUGAUCUUUCAUUUUUGUCGAGUCUUCGACUUUUGUCGAAAAAGCGAGACAUAGCAAUCCUACAUUCCGUCGUCGGCGUCUUCGUCGUCGUCGUCGUCGUUGUCGUUGUCGUCGUCGGCGGCGUCCACAAAUAUUCACUCUGUGGUUAAGGUUUUUGAAAUUUUAAUAACUUUCUUAAACUAUCCUGGAUUUCUACCAAACUUGGACAGAAGCUUGUUUAUGAUCAUAAGAUAAUUUUCAAAAGUAAAUUUUGUAAAAAAAAAAUUCCUUUUUUCCGUAUUUUACUUAUAAAUGGACUUAGUUUUCUGCCAGGAAACAUUACAUUCACUCUCUGGUUAAAGUUUUUUAAAUUUUAAUAACUUUCUUAAACUAUCCUGGAUUUCUACGUAACUUGGAGAGAAGCUUGUUUAUGAUCAUAAGAUAGUAUCCAGAAGUAAAUUUUGUAAAAAAAAAAUCAUUUUUCCGUAUUUUACUUAUAAAUGGACUUAGUUAUUCUGCCAGUUAACAUUAUAUUCACUCUGUGGUUCAAGUUUUAACAACUUUCUUAAACUAUCUUGGAUUUGUACCAAACUUGGACAGAAGCUUGUUUAUGAUUAAAAGCUAAUAUCUAGAAGGAAAUUUUGUUAAAAUUUUGUUCCAUUUUUUCCGUAUUUUACUUAUAAAUGGACUUAGUUUUUCUUCCAGUUAACAUUACAUACAGUCUGCAGUUAAAGUUUUUAAAACAUUUAUUAGAUUCAUAAACUAUCAUGGAUUUCUACCAAACUUGGACAGAAGCUACUUACAAUCAAAAGAUAGUAUAGAGAGGAAUAUUUUUAUUAAUUUUUUCCUCAUUUUUGUUGAUCCUGCGAUUAACAGCAAAAGUAGGCGAGACACUGGGUUCCGCAGAACCCUUACAAUUAUUUUUUAAAACACGUCUGAAAUUAAAUUUAUUUAUGACGAUAACAUAUGUUACCAUAAACAUUGAAAUAAUUUAUAUCAAGAAAAUAAUACAAAUAUUUGCAGUUGUUGCAAAAUCAGAAACAAUCUCAUUAAAUAAAGCUUUUAGCGAAAUUGGGUUUUUUUUCACUAUUGUGUGUUUUCAUAUCCAUUUUUAGUUACAUAUUUUCUUUGCCAUCAAGAAACAGUUAUGGCAUAACUGUACUAUUUUUGAAUAGUUGCUAUUGUCAAUUGAGAUUUUGACGGUCGCAAAUGCAGUUUUACUGACGACGCGAGGCAGUAACACUGAUAUUUGUGAACAGUCAAAUUCCAGUAGACGGCGCGAGGUUUGCAAAAUAAAGCACUGUUUUUCAUAUUCUUAUGCAAUACUUGUAAAAUCUUCAAAAUAAAACAUUUGAAAUACUCACAGAAACCGUCCACUGCAGAAUUGACAGGCAGACGUAAUCCAAUUAAAAAUAGCCUUUCAUAUCAUGUUGCAUUAGAAUGAAUCCGAUAUAUUUUAAAGUAACAAAGUGAAUUAAUUAGACCACUUUCUUUUUGUAUUGUAAAAUAAAGUAGAAGAUUCAAGAUGGUUGCAAUUUUGCAAGGACAUGGAAGUUUGUAUAUAGGAAUGUAACUCUGCCUGGAAUUAUUUAUUUCGUUCUAGAGAUUCGAUCUCAUGGUUGUUCGGGAAUGUUCCCGCCGGAGGUCUUUGUAAGCGAGUUCUAUGAUGAAUAUUUUUUAGCUUGGUUGUAUAAACAUAUUUUAUUUGCCCGACUAGCAAUAUGGAUUGGACACAAGUUUUAACAACAUCAGUAGGGACGUCCUCUCCCAAUACAAAUAUAAGUACAAAAACAUUUAUCCAUCUCGAAAGCAUGAUAAAGCUGCACAUAUUUCGCAAACUACGAGGGAAAUGGUGCAAUAUAAUAUGAAAUAUAAGAUAAGACUAGUCUGGACUGGAGUGGGAUGUGUUUUUAUAUGUCUAAAUCAUUGUGUCUCCUUAUAUAUAUUUGUGCAGAUUUUUUAUACUUAACUGUGUUAAUUGGAAUUACUUAAUGUUGCGCUGUUUUUUUACAUCAAUGAUUGUUGUAUAUUUAUUGACACUAUUAUAAACAACUAAUGUGUAUGUGUAUAUUCCGAAAUAACUCUUGAUAUAAAAAAAGUUUGGAAUUCACAUAACUUGAUUAUUUAACGUAUUCUAUUUGUAAAAUAUUUGUUUCCUAAAAUAGGUUUUAUGAUUAAAAUUUAGAAACUUCA